This 253-nucleotide ribosomal RNA is filed under the name uncultured bacterium. Its description in RNAcentral is "partial 16S ribosomal RNA". It matches the Rfam family "Bacterial small subunit ribosomal RNA", at positions 524 to 776 of the family's 1533-position model. The record is from RNAcentral.
UACAGAGGUCCCGAGCGUUGUUCGGAUUCACUGGGCGUAAAGGGUGCGUAGGCGGUUCUGCAAGUCUGAUGUGAAAUCUCCAGGCCCAACCUGGAAACUGCAUUAGAAACUACAGGGCUAGAGGCUUGGAGGGGGAACUGGAAUUCUCGGUGUAGCAGUGAAAUGCGUAGAGAUCGAGAGGAACACCAGUGGCGAAGGCGAGUUCCUGGACAAGUCCUGACGCUGAGGCACGAAAGCGUGGGGAGCAAACAGG